Perca fluviatilis (European perch) is the source of this 398-nucleotide long non-coding RNA. RefSeq lists it as uncharacterized. The record is from RefSeq and is a predicted model, not a curated record. Lineage: Eukaryota; Metazoa; Chordata; Actinopteri; Perciformes; Percidae. The transcript has 3 exons.
UUGACUAUGAUCCAAUGAGGAGUGGUAGGUUGACCAGGUAUUUGUAACAGAGGUGAUUAGUGUACAUGAGCUGCAGCUGGAACCCUGACUCCCACACACCAGACUUCACUCCUGCAAUUAAGGACAGACAGAGGGGAGGGGGAGAGCAGAGACAGAGAGCUACCUAGCAGCAGCAGCCACCGCAGCCCUAACAGUCAAUUUAAGGGUUGCCUGGACCACGCCCCGUCUCCUCCCCUCCGGUGGUUGAGCCCGGUGGCAGAUCUGGCGGCGUCUGACGGUUCAACGGCGAGGGCUGUCCGGUAACCACCCGAGACUGGCGGCAGGAAGCGGAGAACCUCUUUGACAACACAGUCGACGUAGCGGAGCUGGCUCAGCUUGUCCAGGCUCAGAUACGGCAC